Non-coding RNA from Drosophila suzukii, 280 nucleotides. NCBI's taxonomy places the organism in Eukaryota, Metazoa, Arthropoda, Insecta, Diptera, Drosophilidae. The record is from RefSeq and is a predicted model, not a curated record.
CGGGAGCGAGCGAGACGAAAACAAAGCGGCAGCGGCAUGCGUUUGCGUGUGCAAGAGAACGCGAGUGCGAGGGAGGCAGCAACAGCGACAGAGAGCGAGAAUGCAGUGGCAUUCGCUCUCAUCGUUCGCGUGUGUGUUUGUAAAAUGGUAACGAGCGGAGCGAAAGAAAGAAGAGAGUUAGCAAGCAAGGAGGAAGAAGAAGCACAUGAGCGGCGAGAGGAAGAGCGAGCAGAAGAGCGAGUGUAACUAUUCGCUCAUUUUUGCAAAAACCAAAAAAAAA